ACCUCUCACCUCUGACGGUUUUGUAAUAGAACCGCUCAGAUGCGUGGAUAUGGGCGCCUGCCUGGUGAACAACCUUAUGGCUCGCCUGAAAUGUAUUAGCUGGGAUCUGCAUGUCAGACCGGAGGCGUAAUAAGUUAUUCGUCUCUGGGACUUGGUCUGGUCGGCUUCCAAUACCCAUCUAAUCUCUUG
This 189-nucleotide unclassified non-coding RNA is filed under the name uncultured fungus. RNAcentral's name for it is "sequence contains ITS2". The record is from RNAcentral. Lineage: Eukaryota; Fungi.